Amphimedon queenslandica is the source of this 438-nucleotide long non-coding RNA. RefSeq lists it as uncharacterized. Lineage: Eukaryota; Metazoa; Porifera; Demospongiae; Haplosclerida; Niphatidae. The record is from RefSeq and is a predicted model, not a curated record. The transcript is spliced from 4 exons.
ACAUUCGAAUCAUUAUUUUGUCUCAGAAAAAAAUUCUCAUUGUAGCUUCGUUUGACAAGGUCUGAGUGAUUCAAUGUUACAAGACUCCUAAAAGCCACCAUGUACAGAUUUAACAGAAAGGGGGAUUAUUCAAUACCCAACAGAAACUGAACUGAUGUGGUCAAACCUUGGAAAAGAGGACUAAAUGAUGACAUGGCACCCAGUGAUAUUGAUACUGAGGGAUAUUAUAGAUAUAGUAGACCUAGAGCUAGGGACGUUAAUUUAAAAGCUUUGGUUUUUGAACUUAUCAUUCUUCUAAAGCAAUUGCUAGAUCUGUGGGCAGGUUUUAUCUUCAAGUACACCGAGGAUAAGUGGAGAUCGAUUGAAGACAUUUGUAUGCUUUUUUUGUAACAAAUCUUUGCUUUGUUUUGUUGUCUUUGCUGCUAAUUUUUUUUUCUA